AAAAAAAAAUAUUCAUCUCUCCUCCAAGGCAAAAAUCGAGUUUUUACUUCCACACUCCUUCUCAUUAUUAUUCCUAUAACUCUCCUUCCUUUUAGUCAUGAUUCCAUAUGUGUUUCUAAUUCCAUGCACUCAUCCAUCCAGUAAUGAUUACUGACCAUUAACCAGAGAUGUACCUACCAGCUCUGGACUAGGUGGCCUCUGGGGCAGAGGUAAAAGCAGUAGAAGAUUCCUGACCACUGGCUCCUUAGGGAACAAAUGAGGCAGGAUUUGACCCCAUCUAGGGAGAGGUAGCCAGACCCGGGACCUCAUGACACUCUGACCAAACUGCACAGUAGACCCUUGGGCAAGAAAAUACAGCAUGGAGGGUUUUUGAAAAUCUGUUUUUUAUCAACUUCUACCCCACCACUGUCAUUUAGACAACCUCCUCUCAGGUCCCAAACUUUAAGACACAUCUCUGCUAUUUCUUUACCCUCUUCCCCUAGACUUACAACAUCUUCAUGAACUCUGAUCUUCAUGGUGAUAACAGGAAAUAAGGAGAAAAGAUUCUUAUGGUGGCAUCAAACUUGGUCACAUGGCUUACAUUUUCUUCAAGAGUUUUACUGUUCCAGAUGGAAGCCCUGGCUGCCUGUCCUUAAACUCACUGGAAUCGGUGGCUCCGUCUGUGACAGCUGUUGUGCACCAACAUGAUCAUCCAGGGAGGACAAACACACUUCAGAUGCUUACUAGUGCCCCUCAGGAGAUAUUGUAUCUUCACCAAUGAGUCAAUCUAGGAAGAUGGAAAAACUUUUCUAAAAUCACUUCAGCGUUACAGAUGGGAUUGAACCUAGAUCGUUGUUCUUACCUUUUUACUGUUCAUUAAAAUCUGUGUCAAGCUUUGAGUCAAGAAUUAGGUGUCGAGUUUAUUGGUAGGAAAAUACUUAGUCAUGAUUCGAUCCAAGUGAGCUGUGACACUCUCCAAAAAUAUGUGUCCUUGGAUCUUUCAUGCCAGGGAUGUGGGCUACAUACAGAUUUGCACAUGAAUA
RNAcentral lists this long non-coding RNA (1022 nucleotides) under Felis catus (domestic cat). RNAcentral describes it as "lncRNA (ENSFCAG00000052061.1)". The record is from RNAcentral. Lineage: Eukaryota; Metazoa; Chordata; Mammalia; Carnivora; Felidae.